This 67-nucleotide transfer RNA is filed under the name Fukomys damarensis (Damara mole-rat). It matches the Rfam family "tRNA". Rfam says of the family: Transfer RNA (tRNA) molecules are approximately 80 nucleotides in length. Their secondary structure includes four short double-helical elements and three loops (D, anti-codon, and T loops). The record is from Rfam by way of RNAcentral. Lineage: Eukaryota; Metazoa; Chordata; Mammalia; Rodentia; Bathyergidae.
UGAUAUAGCUUAGUGGUACAGCACCUGUCUGGAAAGCAUGAAGCCCUGUGUUCAAUCCCUGGUAUCA